CUUCGGCUGGCCCUCCUGCUCUCUGCAAUUCGGCGACCUGUCCGAGAGAUCUUCCGUUCUGUCUAUAGAUUGGAUAGGAAGGAACCCCAAUUCUGAUAAUAUUGAGAAGUUUCUUCUCAAAAGAAAAGCGCCAUCACAAGAUGUUUUGGAAAACAUAAUUUGGGGAGAGAGGAUUCAAUAUGAUCCGGGCAAGAGAAAAUUGAAAGAAUGAAUGAAAAAGGCCAGCAAUGCUCAAGUUGUUGAAUAUUUCGUCGCUCGGAGGUGUAGGAUGUACUAAAGGUUACUGAACCUUGUUGUCCAAUGAUGUAUUCUGGAAUUUGGAAAUGCAAGACAUCCAUUUUCAGGUAAUUUUGUCUCUCAUUUUAUCAUUAUAGUGAGCAUUUUGAUUGCUACAUAUUUUUUUACACAUCGCCUUCUAUUAUGUCCUAUAAUAUGUGCUAGAAGUUGUUAAACAAACCUUUAUUCAAUAGAAAGUUGUUUGAAAAUUUUACGCCUUAUUAAAGCGGUGCAUCGGGUAACAUUU
Molecule: long non-coding RNA, 523 nt
Organism: Triticum aestivum (bread wheat)
Lineage: Eukaryota; Viridiplantae; Streptophyta; Magnoliopsida; Poales; Poaceae
Exons: 3
Source: RefSeq, a predicted model, not a curated record